Molecule: non-coding RNA, 74 nt
Organism: Marmota monax (woodchuck)
Lineage: Eukaryota; Metazoa; Chordata; Mammalia; Rodentia; Sciuridae
Source: the annotation of a RefSeq genome assembly
UGGGGGUAUAGCUCAGCUGGUAGAAUGUGUGCCUUUCAUGCACAAGGCCCUGGGUUCAAUCCCCAGCAUCACAA